RNAcentral lists this ribosomal RNA (413 nucleotides) under uncultured bacterium. RNAcentral's name for it is "bacterial SSU rRNA". It matches the Rfam family "Bacterial small subunit ribosomal RNA", at positions 505 to 916 of the family's 1533-position model. The record is from RNAcentral.
GUGACAGCCGCCGCGGUAAUACGGAGGAUCCGAGCGUUAUCCGGAUUUAUUGGGUUUAAAGGGAGCGAAGAUGGGUUGUUAAGUCAGUUGUGAAAGUUUGCGGCUCAACCGUAAAAUUGCAAUUGAUACUGGCGUCCUUGAGUACAGUUGAGGUGGGCGGAAUUCGUGGUGUAGCGGUGAAAUGCUUAGAUAUCACGCAGAACUCCGAUUGCGAAGGCAGCAUACCGGCGCUCCACUGACGCUCAUGCGCGAAAGCGUGGGUAUCGAACAGGAUUAGAUACCCUGGUAGUCCACGCAGUAAACGAUGAAUACUAACUGUCCGGGCAGAAUGAUGUCUGGGUGGUACAGCGAAAGCGUUAAGUAUUCCAACUGGGGAGUACGCCGGCAACGGUGAAACUUAAAGAAAUUGGCGG